Molecule: small nuclear RNA, 162 nt
Organism: Sorex fumeus (smoky shrew)
Lineage: Eukaryota; Metazoa; Chordata; Mammalia; Eulipotyphla; Soricidae
Product: U1 spliceosomal RNA
Exons: 1
Source: RefSeq, a predicted model, not a curated record
ACACUUACUUGCCAGGGGAGAUACCAUGAUCACGAAGGUAGUUUUCCCAGGGCAAAGCUUAUCCACUGCACUCCAGAUGUGCUGACCCCUGCAAUUUACCCAAAUGUGGAAAACUGCAUAAUUUGUUGUGAUAGUAGGGGACUGUGUUCAUACUCUCCCUUG